This 253-nucleotide ribosomal RNA is filed under the name uncultured bacterium. RNAcentral describes it as "partial 16S ribosomal RNA". It matches the Rfam family "Bacterial small subunit ribosomal RNA", at positions 524 to 776 of the family's 1533-position model. The record is from RNAcentral.
UACGUAGGGUGCAAGCGUUAAUCGGAAUUACUGGGCGUAAAGCGAGCGCAGGCGGUCGUGUAAGACAGAUGUGAAAUCCCCGGGCUCAACCUGGGAACUGCAUUUGUGACUGCACGGCUAGAGUGCGUCAGAGGGGGGUGGAACUCCACGUGUAGCAGUGAAAUGCGUAGAGAUGUGGAAGAACACCGACGGCGAAGGCAGCCCCCUGGGAUGACACUGACGCUCAUGCUCGAAAGCGUGGGGAGCAAACAGG